UGAUAAUGGAUCAAAUAUAUUGUCUGGUAAAUUGUGUCCACAAGCAUCUAUUACAGUACUGCAGUGUUAAUGUCCUGGUAUUUAAGUACAAAGUAAAGAACUGGAUUUAUGAGAAGUACUCACUAAAUAAAUUAUUGUAGUACUAGGAUUCAUUAAAUAAAUCAUUGUAGUACUAGUUGCAACUAUAAACAAUAUUCAAUCAAUGAAACUUUUGGGCCUUGAUGGAAAUGCCAUGUUGCUACCUUUUGACUUGCUAGUCACAACAUUUAGUUGCGGGAUCAGCUUCUCCUUUAAUGGAGUAAGGCUAUGUACAGUUGGCUCUCCUUUCAUUGUUCUCUAGAAUGGUGGAAGUCUUCUGCAUUAGAUUACACAUUGAUGUGGUGGUAGUGGUAGUAGUGUGGGGUUGAUGGUUAAUGUGGUUUUCAAGUUUGAAAAGUAUGAUGGGAAAUUGCUCUAUCAUAUUCUGCCCCAUUUUAACCCAGCUCACCCUAUGUGACAGAAAAUACACUAGAUGAACAAG
This 520-nucleotide long non-coding RNA is filed under the name Lupinus angustifolius (narrow-leaved blue lupine). RNAcentral describes it as "long non-coding RNA (LANG_LNC003013)". The record is from RNAcentral. Lineage: Eukaryota; Viridiplantae; Streptophyta; Magnoliopsida; Fabales; Fabaceae.